This is a long non-coding RNA of Columba livia (rock pigeon), 3122 nucleotides long. RefSeq lists it as uncharacterized. The transcript is spliced from 2 exons. Lineage: Eukaryota; Metazoa; Chordata; Aves; Columbiformes; Columbidae. The record is from RefSeq and is a predicted model, not a curated record.
CCCCGCCGCCGCGGGGCCACGUCUCCGGUCUGACGCACGCGGCGGCGGCCGGGGGGCGCCGGUCGGGCCGGGCCGGGCCGCCCCCGCUGGCCCAGCCGCGACAGGCGGGACAGCCGCGCUCCGCCCGCUCCCGCUUGCCCGGAGGCCGGGCAGCAGGGGGCCGCUAACGGUAACCGGCAGCCGAGGCCUCCGGGAGGGCCCGCGGCAUCCGCGGCUGGAGCGGCCGUCGGCCGCGGCGGACGGAGCUGCGAGUCGGGGGCUGGCAGAACAAACGCCGCAUAAACAGGCUGGUUUGGGGCUUGUGUCUCCACAACGUGCAGUCCGUGCCGCGGGCAGCGAUGCCGGGUGGAGGGGACCACGGGGGGCCGUCCCCACGCCGCGGGCGGCUUCGGUCUGUGUCUGGAGGAUGGCAGCAGAAAUUGUUACGGAAAGACCUUGACCUCAACGCACAGAGCUGUGGAAAGACUACAAAGAGACCAGGCUAUAAAGCGCCUGGGAUUCCAUUAACAAUAGAAAAGUGUCCCAAAGAGUGACAAUUGGAAACACAAACUUCUGGCCCAGCGCUUCAAAAAGCGCAGACUGAAAACUGCUGCUGAAGAAACCACAUAUUUGAAGGGACUUUUGUUCAGCAUUUCCAAGAAAGAUUUACAUCUCUGGCAGAACGAAGAGACAGGAUAAAUUCUGCAUCAGAGGGAGGUACUUGCCCUCUAAUGACUUGCCCCUAACCUUAGGGUAGCUUGUAUACCCCCUUAGGGGCCUUACAAAUAUGUAAACAUAAAGAAAUACAAAUAUAUAAGCUCACUAGGGGGGAGUUAAUGGAAACAAAUACAACAUGAGGCACCACAGCUGUUUUGCCGCAAAAAAAAUUAACUGUGUUGGGAUGUGGACCAAAGGUCUGCUGUGGAUAGCUGUGGGUAAUUCUGACUUCACGUACUCCCUGACCCAUCUGCUUCAGGAACUGCCGAGGGCAGACACAGGUCUUUCGUUUGGGAGUUGCUGAUGUGAUUUAUAGCUGUGGGAGUCCAGCUCAUCGUUUGACUGAAGUGUUUGCUUAAGUGCUUUGCCGUGCAGAGCUGCUUUCCUCAGCUAAAGCCUUGAGGCUUUCUGAGACACCUCAAGAAACAAGGGUCUUAAUCUGGCAGGAGCUGGAAGAGGUUUUUGGCAUAGCUCCUUCCCCGUCCUUCAGAGCCGCCAGCCUAAAAGAUGUCAGCAAUACUGCACCAUUACGUAAUUGUUGCCUCUUUGGUUUUCGUUGACACCAGAGGACUGUGGGACAGUUUGUAAAGGAAGUGCCAUUGCUGCAAACCUGGUGCAUUUGCCUUCGCUGUUGAUUGUUCUAUUCUGUCAUUCAGAAUUUACAAACUCCAGCAGCGUUACUGCUGCUACUAAGUGCUACCUCGCAGUAUUUAAGAACCAAAUGCAGUGCUGGUUUGCACCUGAGUUGAAACCAUCACAGACCAGCCUCCAGAAUCAGCUGGACACAGGGACAGAUUGCACCGGCAGUGCUUACAUGGCAGUUAUCCCCGGUCAUGGACCCUUGAGCUGAUUCCUGAGUGCAAUCCAGGCUCAGGAUGCCCAGUUGUGAAGUCUUGGCUCAGCACCAACAUAGCAUCUGCCAGCAUACAGCUCCCACCUUCUGCUGAUUCCUGCUCAGUUGGUUGGUUUGUUUUUGUUUUGUUGGUUUGUUUGGUUUUGUUUUUUUCUCUCUCUGAUCCCUUGUUAAUUUGAGGAUAAACCCUGAAAAAACUGAAAGCCAUCCCAUACCCAAAGGUCCGGGGUCCCAAGAGCAGCCCUGAAGCUGGGGCUGAGGGGAUGGUGCUGUGCAGAGCUUGACAGACCACAUCCCCUGCCAGCUUCGGGAGAGGCUGGGGCUAGAACACAGUUUGAGUGCAAGAGCUUUGUCUCUACCCACAAUGCAAAUGCUUUUCAUCAGUCAUCUCUCCAACAACUGUUGAAAACAGCAUAAUCUGCUAACACAGAAAAGCUAAAUUGCUUUCAGACAAAGUAGUGAAAAACUGCUUCUGUGAUUCAACUCGAAUCCAAAAUUUGACAGCUGUAGUGCUUCUUAGCUGCUUGAAGUUUCUGUCAAAGUUUCUUUUCCCCUAGUUUGCAUUUAUCUAGUUUUACAUUUUAACUCUUCUCCCUCCAGAUUCACGUUUUUGAAAUUUGAAUUUAAAUGCACCAGAUGUUUAAAUAGUAGCAACAUACUGGAAAUAGGCUUUAAAAUAAAUUGCAUGGAUGUUAUGGGCUGAGUCUGGGGAGGAGAAGCACAGCUUCAGAGCAAGGUGAAGAAUAUGCUGUAAUUUCUUAAGCCUGCAGCAUUUUCUACAUACUAUACCUUUACAGCAUCAGAAGGAAAACCCUGAAAGGAUGUUUAAUCUCAUGAGCUCUUUUGUUGUUCCUAAGUAAAGAGGAGCCAUUUAAUUGUAAUCAUACCAUUCAUCACUGGUAUGAUUACAAUUAAAGCAGUGCAAUUACAUCAGGGAAGAAUUUGGCCCGACUAGUUAUUUGUAGAGAAGCUAUCGACAGUGGUCCCCAUGUACCUCCUACUGUUGAGAAAACAGAGAGCUAAAGACAUGCCAAAAGAAACAGGGAUAACUCCAGUUUUCUGACCUUUGGCUGAACCAGAGCUCCUGGAUCUGAAUGAUGCUUCACCUUUGUUACGCUUCUGAUCAUCAUUAGGUUUUCUUCAGUGAUCCAUCUGAAAACAUCUUUCUAUCUGGGGACCUCCAGCGCUAUGCUGGCUACAGCUAUUGCAGCUCCGAGCCACUGAGCCGUGCGCUUCAUGGGAGCAGCAUCUUAGCUAAUUUUAGAUGUGACGUGAUGCAGUGAGUGGGGGUAGCUCACAUGAGGCUGGAGGGAUGGAGCCCAGCAGCCAUGAAAUUCUGCCGUUAAAUUACCCACCUUUUUGUCCACUGUCUUUAAACGCUUACUUGUAGAACUUCUGCUGCUAGCAAAUCUGUGUCAAUAAAUCAUAAUUUAUAAACACGAAUAGCACAUUCUUCAUGAAAAUAUCCUUUUACAUAUCUAAAUGGUAAAGUAAACGUUUGAAAAAACAGGUCCCUAAAUUUUUAAGGUAUUUUAAAACAGUAAUCUCAAAAUAAACAAGAAGAAAUGUUUGU